AGAGUUUGAUCCUGGCUCAGAAUCAACGCUGGCGGCGUGCCUAACACAUGCAAGUCGAGCGAGAGGAAGUAGCAAUACUUUAGUAAAGCGGCGCACGGGUGAGUAACACGUGGAUAACCUGCCUCGAAGUGGGGAAUAACCCCGGGAAACCGGAGCUAAUACCGCAUAAUCUGACGAGAUCUGUGGAUUUUGUCAGCAAAGGAGCAAUUCGCUUUGAGAGGGGUCCGCGGCUGAUUAGCUAGUUGGUGAGGUAAUGGCUCACCAAGGCCACGAUCAGUAGCCGGUCUGAGAGGACGGUCGGCCACACUGGAACUGAGACACGGUCCAGACUCCUACGGGAGGCAGCAGUGGGGAAUUUUUCGCAAUGGGGGCAACCCUGACGAAGCAACGCCGCGUGGGUGAUGAAGUAUUUCGGUACGUAAAACCCUUUCGACGGGGACGAAAGCCGCAAGGUUGACGGUACCCGUGGAAGAAGCCCCCU
This 481-nucleotide ribosomal RNA is filed under the name uncultured soil bacterium. RNAcentral's name for it is "bacterial SSU rRNA". It matches the Rfam family "Bacterial small subunit ribosomal RNA", at positions 8 to 496 of the family's 1533-position model. The record is from RNAcentral.